This 270-nucleotide ribosomal RNA is filed under the name Triticum aestivum (bread wheat). Its description in RNAcentral is "partial small subunit ribosomal RNA". Lineage: Eukaryota; Viridiplantae; Streptophyta; Magnoliopsida; Poales; Poaceae. The record is from RNAcentral.
AUGGUUUUGACCACCCCUGAAUAUUACGUGAUGCAUGUCUCCAAUUGUAUCCAAUCUAGACAGAGUGGACUUUGUCUUAACAUCAGCCUUAGCUUCACAACAAAAUUCCUUCUUCGAUUAGUAGAGAAGCACUAUCAAUAUCUCAAUAAGCUUUUUGGAUAUUUCAGACAUGAUAUUCAGUUCAGAGAGGCGGACAUAGCUGAGGCAAUGAUGCGGCUCGCGUUCGUCUCACCGUUUAUUACCUUACUCAAGCUAAUUUUGUCUUGUUGA